This 253-nucleotide ribosomal RNA is filed under the name uncultured bacterium. RNAcentral describes it as "partial 16S ribosomal RNA". It matches the Rfam family "Bacterial small subunit ribosomal RNA", at positions 524 to 776 of the family's 1533-position model. The record is from RNAcentral.
UACAGAGGGGGCAAGCGUUGUUCGGAAUUACUGGGCGUAAAGGGCGCGUAGGCGGCCUGUUAAGUCGAACGUGAAAUCCCUGGGCUCAACCCAGGAACUGCGUCCGAUACUGGCAGGCUUGAGUUCGGGAGAGGAAUGUGGAAUUCCAGGUGUAGCGGUGAAAUGCGUAGAUAUCUGGAGGAACACCGGUGGCGAAGGCGGCAUUCUGGACCGAAACUGACGCUGAGGCGCGAAAGCCAGGGGAGCAAACGGG